Molecule: ribosomal RNA, 394 nt
Filed under: uncultured bacterium
Lineage: Bacteria
Description: bacterial SSU rRNA
Rfam family: Bacterial small subunit ribosomal RNA
Source: RNAcentral
AACGAACGCUGGCGGCAGGCUUAACACAUGCAAGUCGAACGCCCCGCAAGGGGAGUGGCAGACGGGUGAGUAACGCGUGGGAAUGUGCCCCAAGGUACGGAACAACAGCGGGAAACUGCUGCUAAUACCGUAUGUGACCGAGAGGUGAAAGAUUUAUCGCCUUGGGAUCAGCCCGCGUUAGAUUAGGUAGUUGGCGGGGUAAUGGCCCACCAAGCCUACGAUCUAUAGCUGGUCUGAGAGGAUGAUCAGCCACACUGGGACUGAGACACGGCCCAGACUCCUACGGGAGGCAGCAGUGGGGAAUCUUGGACAAUGGCGCAAGCCUGAUCCAGCCAUGCCGCGUGAAUGAUGAAGGCCUUAGGUGUAAAGUUCUUUCGUCGGGGACGAUAAUGAC